CGCUGGCGGCGUGCCUAAUGCAUGCAAGUCGAGCGGGCUACGGUCUUCGGACUGUAGCUUAGCGGCGAACGGGUGAGUAACACGUAGGUAAUCUACCCUUCAGAGGAGGACAACCUCAGGAAACUGAGGCUAAACCUUCAUACGUUCACUGGUAGGGAUACUGGUGAAGAAAGAGUUACCUUAGUGGUAGCUGCUGAAGGAUGAGCCUGCGGCCCAUCAGGUAGUUGGUGAGGUAACGGCUCACCAAGCCGAAGACGGGUAACCGGUCUGAGAGGAUGUCCGGUCACACUGGGACUGAGACACGGCCCAGA
RNAcentral lists this ribosomal RNA (311 nucleotides) under uncultured bacterium. Its description in RNAcentral is "bacterial SSU rRNA". It matches the Rfam family "Bacterial small subunit ribosomal RNA", at positions 34 to 335 of the family's 1533-position model. RNAcentral also lists the same sequence under 1 other name. The record is from RNAcentral.